AAGAUGAUGUUUUAAGAAUGAAAAAUAAUAAAUUAAUGGCUCUAGCUUUUAGAAUUGGCAUUUCUAGGAUAGAAUAGAUGACUCAAAUAAAUAGGCAAAAGUGUCUUCAUAUUACACAACAAUCUCCUCUCGCCAGUUCUCAAUUCUGACAUAUCUAUAUGUAAGUUUCUCUACCUUCUCAUUCAUUUAUUUUUUCUGGACAUUUAUUUAUUCCUUCAACAUGCUAUAAUUUUCUAUUUUUUUUUUAGUUAAUAUGCACUUUUUGAUAGAAUGGAUAAUUUUAAUUUGAAUUCAGCAUGUGGUUUAGAAAAAUUUAUCUAUAUUGUGUAUUUUGCUCUCUGGGAAUGAAGUUCAUGCGUUGGCCAAACGCCAUGAAUUUUUCGAUCAGUUGACGACCAUCUUAGAUGGUAACACGCAUACAAAAAUUAAUAUAUUGAAGCAUUUUCGAUCUCUUUGACAUCGAUAUUUUCGUUGAAUUUUGAAGCAAAAAUGAAGAUGAAGUUUAGAAUUUUGGAGGAAUAGAUAAACGACGGCGAUGAGGCGGCAUGAGGAGGCUAAACUACUAGGAGUGUAGAUUUGAAGGGGUAAGAUAUUAGGAUUUGGGAGUAGAUAUGUAUAUAUGUUGAAAACAGAUGGGCCUUUAAUCAUUACUAGCAAAAUGUGAACUUUGGUCCUUAUACUAUUGAGUAUUGACAAACCAUUAUCAUAUGUUCUUUUUAGUUGUCAUACCAAAUUUUGCGAUCUGCUCAAUUUUUCUUUAAAAUAUUUUGCAUAAUUAUUUAAAAACUAAUUUAAUAUAUAUGUCUUUAAAUAUCUACUUUGCAGUUUCAUCUCUUCGGCGAUAGUCAUUUGAACGUCCGUGUCUAUAUUUGACUGUGUAGUAAAUACAACUUAUUUAAUUUCUUUAUUAAAUUAUAAAUACUCUUAUUCAUGAUUUCUUUAUAAUAUAAAACAUGAAAUACUUAUUUUUCUCUGUUAAUGGGUGUGUCUUAUAUUUUUUUAAAGUCACAUGCCUCGCAUAAAUAUAAUUAUCACUUGAUAUGAAUGUGUAAUGAACUUUUACUUUGUUUUUUCAAGCAUUCAUAAAAAAUAUUUGGACAACAAAAAAAUGUCGUGUAGUAGAGAUUCUAAAACUGAUCAAACUUUUAAAAAAACAAAUAUCAACAAAAAUGAUAGAAAACAUAAAUUAUAUAGACUGAUGACACUUGAGAAAAAAAGAGGCCCCUUUGGCACAUUGACGAAUAAGAACAGCAGAGUUGAAAAGACAUGGAUUGUCAGAAGGUUCAACUAACAAUGAUUUGGCUUCUGCAUCGUUUUCCAGUUCUAUUAAUGUUUUUGCUGAACAAAGAUAUCUUUUUAAAAAAGAAUAAACACUUCCAUCAGUAUCAGGAUUAAAUUAUUGUGUGACAUAGUAAAUGCAUACCAAAUUAUUAUGAAUUUUUGAUAAAUCAAUGUUAACAAAAAUUAGAAUACGUUACUAUAUGUUGUCUUACCCAAGGAGUCUCAUCAAAAUGCCUACUUUUUUAAGUUGAUUUUUCACAAAUAUAGUUCACAAUAUCUUAGGUAAUUGAAUCUUUUAUCCUAAUAGAUUUUGUGUUUGUCUUCUUUGAAUAAAAAAGUCUUAUCAUAUUUUGUAUUGGAUGAAAUCUCAACACAUCCUUCAAGGAUAACACUUUAAUGUGAUUCAUGAUUUGUGAAUCCUGGUUAGAAAGAGAUGCAUUCUUUCAAUGGAAAAAAGGUGUUUACAUUUAGAUUUUGAACUUCUAAACUAAUUUAAUCAUUAAAUUUAAUUUAACAAAUAUUGAUCAUGAAUGUUCAAGAGAUUGAACACAACAGGAACGAAAAAUGUAUCCACUAUUGUAGAAUUUAUAAAUGCAUAUGUACCAAUGUAAAUAGACAAAAAUCACUAUAAUAUGUGAAUGUCAUGUGAGCAUCCAAUAGUAUGAUAUUCCCACAGUUGUAUAAAGGGGAAAGGAUAUGGAUUGACUAUUUUUUUUAAAAAAGCCCACAAUUUGAAAAUAUGGACAACUGUAGCCAGUCGGCCCAAUUUGAUUUUCUUUUUUAGCAAUUUGGCCCAAUCGGGCCACAUGCAGUCUCUGUACUCAAUUGAUACACUUUUAUACCACAUUGAUACACUUUUUAAAAAAGAGAAAGCAAAUUCUAUGCAAGCACAUCCAAUCCCUAUACCAAUUGAUACUCUUUUAUACCAUAUUAGUAUAUUUUUAUAUAACAUUGAUACACUUGCAGUGUCCAUAUACUCAAUUGAUA
This 2268-nucleotide long non-coding RNA is filed under the name Capsicum annuum. RNAcentral's name for it is "long non-coding RNA (CANN_LNC009146)". Lineage: Eukaryota; Viridiplantae; Streptophyta; Magnoliopsida; Solanales; Solanaceae. The record is from RNAcentral.